GGCGGACGGGUGAGUAACGCGUAGGAAUGUAUCCUGAGGUGGGGGACAACCCUGGGAAACUGGGGCUAAUACCGCAUGUGAGCUGAGGCUCAAAGCCUUCGGGCGCCUUUGGAGUGGCCUGCGUUCGAUUAGCUUGUUGGUGGGGUAAUGGCUUACCAAGGCGACGAUCGAUAGCUGGUCUGAGAGGACGACCAGCCACACUGGGACUGAGACACGGCCCAGACUCCUACGGGAGGCAGCAGUGGGGAAUAUUGGACAAUGGGCGCAAGCCUGAUCCAGCAAUGCCGCGUGGGUGAAGAAGGUCUUCGGAUCGUAAAGCCCUUUCGACAGGGACGAUGAUGACGGUACCUGUAGAAGAAGCCCCGGCUAACUUCGUGCCAGC
RNAcentral lists this ribosomal RNA (382 nucleotides) under uncultured bacterium. RNAcentral describes it as "bacterial SSU rRNA". It matches the Rfam family "Bacterial small subunit ribosomal RNA", at positions 97 to 512 of the family's 1533-position model. The record is from RNAcentral.